This 1509-nucleotide long non-coding RNA is filed under the name Linum usitatissimum (flax). Its description in RNAcentral is "long non-coding RNA (LUSI_LNC002431)". The record is from RNAcentral. Lineage: Eukaryota; Viridiplantae; Streptophyta; Magnoliopsida; Malpighiales; Linaceae.
UGGAGGCUGGAUUGUGGAGCCUGCUGCGUUUGUUAUUUGCAAGUAGAUAUUCUGCACGUGAAUGAAAUGUAAGUUAAUCAAACAGUUUCCAUCAUAUAAACCUGAAAUGCCUGGCAUCUAAGAGCGCAUGCAUGUUUUUAUCUGAUUGUCUUUACAAAUUACAAGUCAAGUUUAAGUUAUCGAAACAAGUCAUACCUCGUAGGGCCUCAGACGCAAUCCGGACUUCAGCUGGUCCCUCAAAUCACCAAAAUUGUGAAGGAUCUCAGAUAUUGAGCUGUUGAGUGUAAAAUUGAAGAGGGGCUCGGGAGGUUUCGAAAAGGAACCAUACUGGAGCGGAAUUAUAGUGAUCCCCCCAGGAAACUUAAGAAUUUCAAAAUCAUAUGGCUCCCCAAAUACUGAGGUGUUUACAGAGAGAUUUAUCUGCUUAAGGAACAACUCAACUAACGCGGUCCUCAGCAUAAUUACGUGUGCUGGAUUUACUGGGGCAUUCAUCGGAUUAGAAAGUAUGCCAAAAACCCCAUCUGUCCAGUUGGAUGUGCCAUUUUGAUGUAUCGACAGCAUAGCCACCUGAAAAGUAAUGCAUUGCCUUUCAGGUCAACUCUUAGCUAACUGAGAAAUGCAUUACAAAUUACCACUACAACAGCAUGAAACAGACCUUCAUAUCAGGGAAGUUUAUUUCUUUGAAAAUGUCGCUCUCUAAUCCUUCCAUAUGUGGAACCACAUCUGAAACUGGCUUUGGAAGUUUGAAGUACGCCUGUGCAGUGGCUGAAAACAAGUAAUUGGUAUUAGCACAACAAAAAACUAUCAACCCACAAAUGAACGGCCCAGAACUACAGUUUAAAUAGGAGAUUGUGAUAUCCCACAGUAAAAUUGCACAAAAAAAACUCAAAGUCCAUGAAGUUAAAGCACGAGAGUCUUUCAGAGAUUCAAUUUAAUAAAAAAGAGCAAUGCAAUCGUUCUUUACAGAACCAAAACUCAUGGCAAGUCCAUAAAAAAGGUUUUGCACAUCCUUUGCCAAAUAAGAAGAAAAAUGAACUACCACAUCACAGAUAUAUUGAAGAACAGUGCUAGAGAACGGAAGUAAAGUACCUACAAAACAGCGGCCUACUAAUCGUUUUUCAUGGACACAAAUUUAAUAUAAGCUGGGAACUUUAAACAUAAAACAUCAUACCAGUAACACAAUGGUCAAGUGAUCUGAACUUCAGAACCACAGACGCAACUACAGACACAAAAAAAAAACCCCAGGAAACUUAAGAAUUUCAAAAUCAUAUGGCUCCCCAAAUACUGAGGUGUUUACAGAGAGAUUUAUCUGCUUAAGGAACAACUCAACUAACGCGGUCCUCAGCAUAAUUACGUGUGCUGGAUUUACUGGGGCAUUCAUCGGAUUAGAAAGUAUGCCAAAAACCCCAUCUGUCCAGUUGGAUGUGCCAUUUUGAUGUAUCGACAGCAUAGCCACCUGAAAAGUAAUGCAUUGCCUUUCAGGUCAACUCUUAGCUAACUGAGAAAUGC